CUUUCGGAGGAGUUAACGAGAGCGAUGCUAGGAGCCACACUGUGAACAUACCCGUACGUUGCCUCGGCGGGGGAGGGGGGGCCUACCCCCCCGCCUCCGCCGGCGGCCCACCAAACUCUGUUUAGCUCUGAAUCUCUGAAGCGAUAAACUAAAUCAGUUAAAACUUUCAACAACGGAUCUCUUGGUUCUGGCAUCGAUGAAGAACGCAGCGAAAUGCGAUACGUAGUGUGAAUUGCAGAAUUUAGUGAAUCAUCGAAUCUUUGAACGCACAUUGCGCCCACCAGUAUUCUGGUGGGCAUGCCUGUUCGAGCGUCAUUUCAACCCCUUAAGCCCUUGUCGCUUAGUGUUGGGAGCCUACGGCGUCCUGCCGUAGCUCCUCAAAUCCAGUGGCGGAGCCGGUUUCGCGCUCUGGGCGUAGUAGAUUUUCUCCAUCUCGCCUACAGCCGGGCCCGGCCUUCCCUGCCGUAAAAAACCCCCCUCCAAUACAGAAGGUUGACCUCGAAUCAGGUAGGAAUACCCGCUGAACUUAAGCAUAUCAAUAAGCGGAGGA
This 550-nucleotide ribosomal RNA is filed under the name Cephaliophora sp. 194. RNAcentral describes it as "eukaryotic LSU rRNA". The stretch from base 162 to 315 matches the Rfam family "5.8S ribosomal RNA". Lineage: Eukaryota; Fungi; Ascomycota; Pezizomycetes; Pezizales; Ascodesmidaceae. The record is from RNAcentral.